CAUGAGCAGGGGAGGGGCAGAGAGACAGAGGGAGACACAGAAUCUGAAGCAGGCUCAGAACCUGACCCAGAACUUGAACCCAAAGCCCAUGACAUCAUGACCUGAGCUGAAGUUGGACGCUUAACCAGGGACCUCAGCAGCCCAGAUCCAAUGGCCUCCUUCCCUCUGCAGGGGCUCAGACCCUCUGGCCUGACCUCUCUCCCUGGAGCAGCCUAAGACGACAGGACCCAUUCCUCCUUCUUGCCCCUGAUGUUGUGCCUGAAGAGACCUGCCCUUGGAAUCAGAAUCACUACUCCUCUCUUAAUAAGAUGAGUCGAGAUCCAGUUUGUAGAAGACACUUGGGCUUGCAGAACAGCGUCUACCUUCCCUCCCCACUACCAUCAUAUGCUGAUCUGGCCUAAAGAGUUCAGGCAAGGAGUACCUGGGUGGCUCAGUCGGUUGAGUGUCUGACCGUUGGUUUUGGCUCAUCUUGGUUAUGGCCACCUUGAGAUCCAGCCUGGUGUCUAUGCGGACAGGGCAGAACCUGCUUGGGAUUCUGUCUCUCCUUCUCUUUCUGCCUCUCCCUCACUCAUUCUCUCUGUCUUUCACUACUUCUCUCUUUCUCAAAAUAAAUAAAUAAACUUAAAAAGAAAAGAGUCGAGGCAAAGAAACCCCACUCCCUUCACACUCAGAACACACCCCUUUUCCUGGGACAGUGGAUAAAGGGAAGGAGCAUCAAUCCUGUCUUUGGUACUGGAAGUCUGUUGUGUCCGCAGAAAAGCCUAUUCAUGUACCAAAAAGAAAAUUUAAUUGGUCCACUUCCAGAACCUGGAAAAAAGUCAUGAAACAACCCUCCGAAAAGCCAUGUGUCUUUGAUCCAAUUAGCACAUCCACUAACUAACUAAGCAAACUGCAUCAAUUCAUCAGGACAUUCUAGAUUGUUGUUUCCAAGAUGAGCGAUCCUCCAGUUAAGCUCUCUUAAGUUCCUUCCAGGUCUAUUUAAGAAUCUGUAAUCGUAUCCCAGCAUCCUGCUUUUAAGCCAGGACAUUGGCUCAUGGAUAAGGACAAAAAUAAUUCUUGUAGAGAACAUGCCACGUGCAGCCCUCAUCUCGGGAAAGACAAGGGAUCUUAUUUGAGGCUAAGUGCCAUUUGCUAAUGUCUCAAUAAAUAUUCACUGCCAAAAAUUUUGGUGGGAGGGAUUUAAAAUAAACCUUGGGAGUGGCUCCCUGAUUGUGCAUACUUCCAGGUGAGAAUCUGGGCUCCUUGAGAUGUGUCCACUGUCUUUUCAGAUAUGGCUUGAGCCUAAGUCUGUACCUAACCAAAUAAAGGAAUUGAUGGCCUCCGGAAA
This is a long non-coding RNA of Suricata suricatta (meerkat), 1327 nucleotides long. RefSeq lists it as uncharacterized. The transcript is spliced from 2 exons. NCBI's taxonomy places the organism in Eukaryota, Metazoa, Chordata, Mammalia, Carnivora, Herpestidae. The record is from RefSeq and is a predicted model, not a curated record.